This 492-nucleotide ribosomal RNA is filed under the name uncultured bacterium. RNAcentral describes it as "partial 16S ribosomal RNA". It matches the Rfam family "Bacterial small subunit ribosomal RNA", at positions 29 to 507 of the family's 1533-position model. The record is from RNAcentral.
AGUGAACGCUGGCGGUAGGCCUAACACAUGCAAGUCGAACGGCAGCACAGUAAGAGCUUGCUCUUACGGGUGGCGAGUGGCGGACGGGGGAGGAAUACAUCGGAAUCUACUUUUUCGUGGGGGAUAACGUAGGGAAACUUACGCUAAUACCGCAUACGACCUACGGGUGAAAGCAGGGGAUCUUCGGACCUUGCGCGAUUGAAUGAGCCGAUGUCGGAUUAGCUAGUUGGCGGGGUAAAGGCGCACCAAGGCGACGAUCCGUAGCUGGUCUGAGAGGAUGGUCAGCCAGACUGGAAGUGAGACAGGGCCGAGACUCCUACGCUAGGACGCAGUCGAGACUAUUGCACAAUGGGCGAGAGCCUGAUCCAGCACUACCGCGUAAGUGAUGAAGGCGUUAGGGUUGGAAAGUCAUGUUGGUCGGAAAGAAGAGCAGCAGUUUAAUACCCCGCGGUAAUGACGGUACCCAAAGAAUAAGCACCGGCUAACUUCGUG